RNA transcript from Lagopus leucura (white-tailed ptarmigan), 907 nucleotides. It is a transcript of the gene named DNA-directed RNA polymerase II subunit RPB9-like, with no coding region annotated. NCBI's taxonomy places the organism in Eukaryota, Metazoa, Chordata, Aves, Galliformes, Phasianidae. The record is from RefSeq and is a predicted model, not a curated record. The transcript has 5 exons.
CAUGCACGGAAACUUCCGGCCGCGCUCCGAUGCUUUUUGUCCCCGCGGAGCCGCCGUGGUCGGUCGCGGUGCGCGGAGUCGUCAUGGAGUCGGAGGGUCCCUCUGAGCCGGGUUUCGUCGGGAUCCGCUUCUGCCAGGAGUGCAACAACAUGCUGUACCCCAAGGAGGACAAGGAGAGCCGUGUGCUGCUUUACGCGUGCCGCAAUUGCGACUACCAGCAGGAGGCCGACAGCAGCUGCAUCUACGUCAACAAGAUCACGCAUGAAGUGGAGUGAGUGCGGACCCCCUUGGGACCCACCCCCGGCACCCCUUCCUCCUGAUUCCAACCCACAGAGCCGUCCACUGCCAUCCCCUCCUUCGUCCCCCCGACAAGACAGCCCCUAUGAUCCUCCCACCUUGGCACAUUGGCCGUCCCUGUUCUGGUGAGCUCACGCAGAUCAUUGCUGAUGUCUCCCAGGACCCUACGCUGCCGCGCACUGAGGACCACCCCUGCCAGAAGUGGGGAGGACUUGGGGAUCCCUGUGGGGACCAGGAGCCCCUGCAGGGAUGUGAGGGGCUUCCAGGGGGCCGAGAGAUGUCCUCAGCCUUGCUGCUUUCCCCCUGGGCUCCAACUUUACCAGUGUCGGGGGCAUGGUAUCCCUGCCACGUUCCUGCUGCAGGGCUCUGCUAUAUGCUGUCCAUCACCAGUACUCUCCUCACAGCUCCUUUACUUCCCUAUGGGGUUAUUUAACAUCCCCUCCUGUGGUUCCUGCCCCACGCAGGGGCUCCACGUCCCUCCUGUGUUACUGCUUUCCUUUCUCUCCCCCAGGUGUGGGCACAAGGAAGCUGUUCUCUUCCAGUCGCACAGUGCAAGAGCUGAGGAUGCCAUGAGGCUCUACUAUGUCUGCACAGCCCCGCACUGUGGCCA